AGUACCCACUCUUCAUCCACUCUCUUUCUUUUGUCUUUUUUUCACUAGAUUAUUUUCAUAAGGAAAAGGAUGAAAAUACCAUGCUACAAAGCAUGCAACGAACAUUUAAUUUUUACACUUGGAAAACAAGAAUAAGAGAACUGAAAUUACACUUGCAUUCAAAUGCAGAUUAAAUUAGAUAGUACCUAAGAACAGGAUGUGUUAACUGUCGAUUGAGAACCAGCCUCUUUAUUACUUUCCUUUUCUUUCUGUAAUUCUGUUUUUCUUAAAAAUUGGUUUAGAAUAAGUCGAUUCUAAUGUUCUUGUACCCUCAAUAUGGGU
Molecule: unclassified non-coding RNA, 321 nt
Filed under: Hevea brasiliensis (rubber tree)
Lineage: Eukaryota; Viridiplantae; Streptophyta; Magnoliopsida; Malpighiales; Euphorbiaceae
Source: RNAcentral